GUCUACGGCCAUACCACCCUGAACGCGCCCAAUCUCGUCUGAUCUCGGAAGCUAAGCAGGGUCGGGCCUGGUUAGUACUUGGAUGGGAGACCGAAAUGCCCAUUAAAAAAAAUUAAGCCUUCAAAGAAU
This 129-nucleotide ribosomal RNA is filed under the name Neogale vison (American mink). Lineage: Eukaryota; Metazoa; Chordata; Mammalia; Carnivora; Mustelidae. The record is from RNAcentral.